Molecule: ribosomal RNA, 444 nt
Filed under: Triticum aestivum (bread wheat)
Lineage: Eukaryota; Viridiplantae; Streptophyta; Magnoliopsida; Poales; Poaceae
Description: partial small subunit ribosomal RNA
Source: RNAcentral
AUGCUUCAGCCUGUGGAUGGAUUGAUUAAUGCAAGUAACCAGGAGAGAAGGUGCGUUAGCUGGGGCUAUCCAUGUCGGGUCGCUCAUGAGGGGAAGAGGGAGGGAGGAGCAUCAAGGAAGCUUCGUCCUGCUCCCAUACCAAGGAAGCCACGCCCACACCAACACAUACAAAUAUUUUUCCUGCCAACCCAUUCAACCUGCUCGUCUCUCGCCCAGCGAGGACCGUGGUUGCCACUUGUCACGCCACCGUUUCCUAGCACCCUCAGCGACCAGGGAAGCAGCCGGGUGGAGACAGGGGCAUUCUCCUUUUUAUCCGCAGCUUCCGCCUCCUGCACUAUAGGUGCUGCUGUCGACGCUGCUCCUUCUCUUCCCCUCGGAGGAUUGGAUCGUUCAUUGUUGAAUCGAAUGAAUGUAGUGGAUCCUUUUGUGUUGAUAAUCUACUGA